This 777-nucleotide ribosomal RNA is filed under the name Rhizobium sp. P3_UT_7. RNAcentral describes it as "bacterial SSU rRNA". It matches the Rfam family "Bacterial small subunit ribosomal RNA", at positions 1 to 769 of the family's 1533-position model. Lineage: Bacteria; Pseudomonadati; Pseudomonadota; Alphaproteobacteria; Hyphomicrobiales; Rhizobiaceae. The record is from RNAcentral.
UAGAGUUUUGAUCCUGGCUCAGGACGAACGCUGGCGGCGUGCCUAAUACAUGCAAGUCGAGCGGACAUAGAGUUUGAUCCUGGCUCAGAACGAACGCUGACGGCAGGCUUAACACAUGCAAGUCGAGCGCCCCGCAAGGGGAGCGGCAGACGGGUGAGUAACGCGUGGGAAUCUACCCAUCCCUACGGAACAACUCCGGGAAACUGGAGCUAAUACCGUAUACGCCCUUUGGGGGAAAGAUUUAUCGGGGAUGGAUGAGCCCGCGUUGGAUUAGCUAGUUGGUGGGGUAAAGGCCUACCAAGGGGACGAUCCAUAGCUGGUAUGAGAGGAUGAUCAGCCACAUUGGGACUGAGACCCGGCCCAAAUUCCUACCGGAGGCAGCAGUUGGGAAUAUUGGACAAUGGGCGCAAGCCUGAUCCAGCCAUGUCGCGUGAGUGAUGAAGGCCUUAGGGUUGUAAAGCUCUUUCACCGGAGAAGAUAAUGACGGUAUCCGGACAAGAAGCCCCGGCUAACUUCGUGCCAGCAGCCGCGGUAAUACGAAGGGGGCUAGCGUUGUUCGGAAUUAUUGGGCGUAAAGCGCACGUAGGCGGACAUUUAAGUCAGGGGUGAAAUCCCGGGGCUCAACCUCGGAACUGCCUUUGAAACUGGGUGUCUUGAGUGCGGAAGAGGUAAGUGGAAUUGCGAGUGUAGAGGUGAAAUUCGUAGAUAUUCGCAGGAACACCAGUGGCGAAGGCGGCUUUCGGUCCACAACGACGCGAGGUGGAAAGCGGAGCACCC